RNAcentral lists this unclassified non-coding RNA (380 nucleotides) under uncultured bacterium. Its description in RNAcentral is "contains 16S-23S intergenic spacer region". The record is from RNAcentral.
UCCGGCUUACCACCGGCGGUCCCACUAGAGUGCCCAACUAAAUGCUGGCAACUAAUGGCGAGGGUUGCGCUCGUUGCGGGACUUAACCCAACACCUCACGGCACGAGCUGACGACAGCCAUGCACCACCUGCACAGAAGUCCCUUGCGGGAGGUUCUGGCUUUCACCAAAAUUUCCUCUGCAUGUCAAACCCAGGUAAGGUUCUUCGCGUUGCCUCGAAUUAAACCGCACGCUCCACCGCUUGUGCGGGUCCCCGUCAAUUCCUUUGAGUUUUAGCCUUGCGGCCGUACUCCCCAGGCGGGAUGCUUAAAGCGUUAGCUGCGGCACGGGGGGGGUCGACACCUCCCACACCUAGCAUCCACCGUUUAGGGCGUGGACUAC